This 416-nucleotide long non-coding RNA is filed under the name Physcomitrium patens. Its description in RNAcentral is "long non-coding RNA (PPAT_LNC000961)". The record is from RNAcentral. Lineage: Eukaryota; Viridiplantae; Streptophyta; Bryopsida; Funariales; Funariaceae.
UAUAUCUCAAAUACAUCUCAAUUCAAUCUUAAUUUAAUCUUAGUUAAAAUCCUAUUGGACUUCAUUCAAAUUUUAGGCCAAAAACUAACUAAAUCUUAAAUCUUAAAUAAAUCCUAAUAAAAUCUUAAAUCUUAAAAUAAAUCCUAAUCAAAUUAUAAACUCUAAAUCAACUUUUAAUCAAAUCCUAAUCCUAAAUAAAAUACUAACCAAAUCCUAAAUCCUAAACCAAACCUUAAUCAAAUCCUAAAUCCUAAAUCAAACUCUAACCAAAUCCUAAUCCUAAAUCAAAUCUUAACCAAAUCCUAAAUCCUAAAUAAAAUCUUAAUCAAAUCCUAAAUCCUAAACCAAAUCUUAAAUCCUAACCAAAUCCUAAAUCCUAAAUCAAAUCCUAAUCAAAUCCUAAAUCCUAGACCAAA